This 2075-nucleotide ribosomal RNA is filed under the name human gut metagenome. RNAcentral describes it as "bacterial LSU rRNA". It matches the Rfam family "Bacterial large subunit ribosomal RNA", at positions 828 to 2925 of the family's 2925-position model. The record is from RNAcentral.
UCCAAUCGAACUCGGAGAUAGCUGGUUCUCCCCGAAAUAGCUUUAGGGCUAGCGUCAUGUUAGAUUACCGGAGGUAAAGCACUGAAUGGACUAGGGGCCGCGAGGUUACCGAACCCUAUCAAACUAAGAAUGCCGGAUAAUUGAUGCAUGGCAGUCAGACUACGUGAGAUAAGUCUCGUGGUCAAAAGGGAAACAGCCCAGAUCCACAGCUAAGGUCCCUAAUAGAUGCUAAGUGUAAAAUGAUGUGGAGUUGCACAGACAAUCAGGAUGUUGGCUUAGAAGCAGCCACACAUUCAAAGAGUGCGUAAUAGCUCACUGGUCGAGUGAUCCAGCGCCGAAAAUGUAACGGGGCUAAAACGCGACACCGAAGCAGCGGGAUGCGUAAGCAUCGGUAGAGGAGCAUUGUGUGAGGGUUGAAGCCAGAGCGGGAGCACUGGUGGACUUCACAGAAGAGAGAAUGCCGGUAUGAGUAGCGAGACCCAUGCGAGAAACAUGGGCGUCGAAGGCCCAAGGUUUCCUGGGGAAGGUUCAUCCACCCAGGGUAAGUCGGGACCUAAGCCGAGGACUGAGGUCGUAGGCGAUGGACAGCAGGUAGAGAUUCCUGCACCACUUAUACUUGUUUGACGAAGCAGUGACACAGAAGGAUAGGACGAGCGCGGUGAUGGUCAACCGCGUAGGCGGCACGAGGCCGGGAAGCAGUGAAGUACACUUCCCGCGAAGGCUGAGUGUUGACAGGACCGAAAAGAAGUAGGGAAGCGUCCGAGUUCACGCUGGCGAGAAAAGCUGCUAAGGAGAGUGUGAGUGCCCGUACCGGAAACCGACGCAGGUGGGCGAGGAGAGAAUCCUGAGACGGACGGGAGAACUCUUGUUAAGGAACUCGGCAAAAUGACCCCGUAACUUCGGGAGAAGGGGUGCCUCGAAAGAGGCCGCAGAGAAUAGUCACAAGCGACUGUUUAGCAAAAACACAGGUAUCUGCGAAAGCGAGAGCUGACGUAUAGGUGCUGACGCCUGCCCGGUGCUGGAAGGUUAAGGGGAAGUGUUAGGGGAAACCCGAAGCAGAGAACCGAAGCCCCAGUAAACGGCGGCCGUAACUAUAACGGUCCUAAGGUAGCGAAAUUCCUUGUCGGGUAAGUUCCGACCCGCACGAAUGGCGUAACGACUUGUGAGCUGUCUCAACAGGAGGCCCGGUGAAAUUGAAGUAUGUGUGAAGAUGCACAUUACCCGCGACUGGACGGAAAGACCCCGUAGAGCUUUACUGUAACCUGACAUUGGAUCUUGAUAACGGAUGCACAGGAUAGGUGGGACGCUGGGAGACGAGGACUUUGGUUUUCGUGGAGCGGCCGUUGGGAUACCACUCUUCUGUUAUUGAGAUUCUAACCUCAAGCCGUGAGCCGGAUGAGAGACAGUGUCAGGCGGACAGUUUGACUGGGGCGGUCGCCUCCGAAAGCGUAACGGAGGCGCCCAAAGGUACCCUCAGAAUGGAUGGAAACCAUUCGAAGAGAGCAAAGUCAGAAGGGUGCUUGACUGCGAGACCAACAAGUCGAGCAGGUACGAAAGUAGGGCUUAGUGAUCCGGCGGUAAGAGAGUGGAAUUGCCGUCGCUCAACGGAUAAAAGCUACCUCGGGGAUAACAGGCUGAUCUCCCCCAAGAGUUCACAUCGACGGGGAGGUUUGGCACCUCGAUGUCGGCUCAUCGCAUCCUGGGGCUGUAUUCGGUCCCAAGGGUUUGGCUGUUCGCCAAUUAAAGCGGCACGCGAGCUGGGUUCAGAACGUCGUGAGACAGUUCGGUCCCUAUCCAUCGUGGGCGAAGGACACAUGAGAGGAGCUGCUCCUAGUACGAGAGGACCGGAGUGGACGCAUCACUGGUGCAACUGUUGUCGUGCCAACGGCACAGCAGGGAAGCGAAAUGCGGACGGGAUAAACGCUGAAGGCAUCUAAGCGUGAAGCCCACCUCAAGAAUAAGUGUCCCAUUCGAAAGAAGUAAGACCCCUGGAAGACUACCAGGUGAUAGGUCAUCGGUGAAAGAGUGGUAACAUUUGGAGCUUGAUGAUACUAAUCGGUCGAGGACUUGAUCUA